RNAcentral lists this long non-coding RNA (851 nucleotides) under Gossypium raimondii (Peruvian cotton). RNAcentral's name for it is "long non-coding RNA (GRAI_LNC004248)". Lineage: Eukaryota; Viridiplantae; Streptophyta; Magnoliopsida; Malvales; Malvaceae. The record is from RNAcentral.
AACUCUAGAGGCCUUAAUGCGGCUCUCAAUACGAUCAAGCAAAGCUUUCACCGUUUGAAUGGUAGCUAUUGAUUCAAUUAGAAGGGCAAGUUGCUCAAAUGGCAUCGACUUGACCGAUUUCCCAUUGAUUUUCAAGGAAUCAAAGGCUUUUGCCAAGUCUAAAGUAGUUUUUCUCUGCCUAAGGAACUGCCUCCAGCACCUGAAUAAUACAAAAUUAUUAGACUAUUCACCAAAAUGUGCUGCAAAAAGUGAUUUCUUAUAAUUUCAUAACAAUAAUGUUCUCUACUACUGCAAAUAAUGUCCUUUAAAGAUUAUAACAGAGUAUAAAUAAAUGCUAUCAAAUAGAAAAUACUGGUCUUAUACCUUGCUAAUUUUCGAGAAAGCAGAUCAGCUUGUUUGUGCAUCCUGGUACAAUUCACUCGAAUAGAUUUCUGUGUCCUUCCUCUCUGCCUCAAGUACUCUGCUCUUUGUCUCCUUGCCUUUUAUCAAGAAAUUAAUAAGAAAAACAUAGUACAUGCAAUAAAAUAUAAAGGAAAAAGCAGAUUUGCACUUGAAGACAGAAUCAUACUAUAGAAAUUUCAUAGAACAUGCAUAUACCCUUUGCAGUCUGUCUUCCAACUGGUCUCUCAUUUUCCUCCUCUCAACCUCACGUUGAUGAGAGAUAGAAUUAGCCACUCGUCGAACUUGCAAAAUCCUAGCACAGGCUUUCUUCUUCUCUGCUUCCAGCAGUCCCAAUCGCUUUUUCUCAGCAGCCACACGCUUUUGAUGAAUAGCAGCACGAACACGCUCCUUAUAUUUACUUUCUCUAGCCAUCCUUCGUAACAUUGAUUGUGAUGAUCUCUCAUUUUGGG